UGGUACUUAGUUUAAUGGUAAAACCUCAGACUCCAAAUCUGAAAGAUGAGUGUUCGAGUCAUUCAGUACCUGCUAUA
Molecule: transfer RNA, 77 nt
Filed under: Crassvirales sp.
Lineage: Duplodnaviria; Heunggongvirae; Uroviricota; Caudoviricetes; Crassvirales
Description: tRNA-Trp
Rfam family: tRNA
About the family: Transfer RNA (tRNA) molecules are approximately 80 nucleotides in length. Their secondary structure includes four short double-helical elements and three loops (D, anti-codon, and T loops). Further hydrogen bonds mediate the characteristic L-shaped molecular structure. tRNAs have two regions of fundamental functional importance: the anti-codon, which is responsible for specific mRNA codon recognition, and the 3' end, to which the tRNAs corresponding amino acid is attached (by aminoacyl-tRNA synthetases). tRNAs cope with the degeneracy of the genetic code in two manners: having more than one tRNA (with a specific anti-codon) for a particular amino acid; and 'wobble' base-pairing, i.e. permitting non-standard base-pairing at the 3rd anti-codon position.
Source: RNAcentral